This 744-nucleotide ribosomal RNA is filed under the name Bacillus sp. sm460 10. RNAcentral's name for it is "bacterial SSU rRNA". It matches the Rfam family "Bacterial small subunit ribosomal RNA", at positions 56 to 784 of the family's 1533-position model. The record is from RNAcentral. Lineage: Bacteria; Bacillati; Bacillota; Bacilli; Caryophanales; Bacillaceae. RNAcentral also lists the same sequence under 1 other name.
UGCAGUCGAGCGGAUCUUUGGGAGCUUGCUCCCAAAGAUUAGCGGCGGACGGGUGAGUAACACGUGGGCAAUCUGCCUGUAAGACUGGGAUAACUUCGGGAAACCGGAGCUAAUACCGGAUAAUAUUGAGAACCGCAUGGUUCUCUAUUAAAAGAUGGUUUCGGCUAUCACUUACAGAUGAGCCCGCGGCGCAUUAGCUAGUUGGUGAGGUAAUGGCUCACCAAGGCAACGAUGCGUAGCCGACCUGAGAGGGUGAUCGGCCACACUGGGACUGAGACACGGCCCAGACUCCUACGGGAGGCAGCAGUAGGGAAUCUUCCGCAAUGGACGAAAGUCUGACGGAGCAACGCCGCGUGAACGAUGAAGGCCUUCGGGUCGUAAAGUUCUGUUGUUAAGGAAGAACAAGUACGAGAGUAACUGCUCGUACCUUGACGGUACUUAACCAGAAAGCCACGGCUAACUACGUGCCAGCAGCCGCGGUAAUACGUAGGUGGCAAGCGUUAUCCGGAAUUAUUGGGCGUAAAGCGCUCGCAGGCGGUCCUUUAAGUCUGAUGUGAAAGCCCACGGCUCAACCGUGGAGGGUCAUUGGAAACUGGGGGACUUGAGUGCAGAAGAGGAGAGUGGAAUUCCACGUGUAGCGGUGAAAUGCGUAGAGAUGUGGAGGAACACCAGUGGCGAAGGCGACUCUCUGGUCUGUAACUGACGCUGAGGAGCGAAAGCGUGGGGAGCGAACAGGAUUAGAUA